UACGUAGGGUGCAAGCGUUGUCCGGAAUUAUUGGGCGUAAAGAGCUCGUAGGCGGUUUGUCGCGUCUGGUGUGAAAAUCCAGGGCUUAACCCUGGACCUGCAUCGGGUACGGGCAGACUAGAGUGCGGUAGGGGAGAUCGGAAUUCCUGGUGUAGCGGUGAAAUGCGCAGAUAUCAGGAGGAACACCGGUGGCGAAGGCGGAUCUCUGGGCCGUAACUGACGCUGAGGAGCGAAAGCGUGGGGAGCGAACAG
This 252-nucleotide ribosomal RNA is filed under the name uncultured bacterium. Its description in RNAcentral is "partial 16S ribosomal RNA". It matches the Rfam family "Bacterial small subunit ribosomal RNA", at positions 524 to 775 of the family's 1533-position model. The record is from RNAcentral.